GACCACAGCCAUACCUCCCAGAACAUGUACCAAUCCUGUCUGAUCUCAGAAGCCAUGCAGGGUCGGGCCUGGAUAGUACUUGGAUAGAAGAAUCCUUUGCUUAGGCCAGACGAUGGUGGUGU
This 122-nucleotide ribosomal RNA is filed under the name Microtus ochrogaster (prairie vole). The record is from RNAcentral. Lineage: Eukaryota; Metazoa; Chordata; Mammalia; Rodentia; Cricetidae.